UGUCCCCAGGGGUGAUUUCCCUCCUGUUACCACUGGGUUUUUUUUACCUGUGGAAACGUUUACAAGACCAAGAGUUAUUUUCCCAUUAUGUAUUGUGAAGAGCAUCAUUUCCUGAAUGCAUUAGUACAAAGAAAUAGUUGGAAAGGCGGCCAGGUUUGAAAAUUCAAGCCCAUCCAAGGUAAGAAUUUAUAGAAAAAUACUUAUUGGUGUUCUAUCCUGUUACAGCCUUUUCUUACACUUUCUGAGAAUAUUUUUAAGUGUGCACCACAGCAUUAAGUGUGUUUUUAUAUCAUCUUUUUAAAAGUUAUAUGUCACAGGAAAUACACUUACAUUUAAUGUGAUAAAAAGGACAAAAACUAUCGCGUAAUUCCUUUCUGUUACGUUCUGUCAUGUUACCUGAUAAAAAGUAACAGCAUAACCAUCAUCAGUAACAGGAAGGAUGUUCAAGACAAUUUUACUGAAGAAUCGAAAAGUUAAUCUACUAUAUGCCAACCAUUUCAUUUAAUAUAAGUUAUCACCACCA
Molecule: long non-coding RNA, 523 nt
Filed under: Mytilus galloprovincialis (Mediterranean mussel)
Lineage: Eukaryota; Metazoa; Mollusca; Bivalvia; Mytilida; Mytilidae
Source: RNAcentral